AAAUAAAGACCCGUAUGAAUGGCUAAAUGAAUAUUUAACUGUCUCCUUUAACCAAUCAGUGAAACUGAUUUUUUAGUACAAAAGCUGAAAUAAGAACAUAAGACGAGAAGACCCUGUGGAGCUUAAAACUUUUAUUAAGCACACACACUAAGUGUGCCCAUAAGAAAAAGUUUUGAGUUGGGGCGACUUUGGAGCAAAACACAACCUCCAAGAAGAGGUACCACCCUAACAAGGCGCACAGGCCGAAACUACACGACCCAGUAUUACUGAUCAACGAACCAAGUUACCCCAGGGAUAACAGCGCCAUCUUCUUCAAGAGUUCAUAUCGACAAGAAGGUUUACGACCUCGAUGUUGGAUCAGGACACCCAAAUGGUGCAGCCGCUAUUAAAGGUUCGUUUGUUCAACGAUUAAUAGU
RNAcentral lists this ribosomal RNA (416 nucleotides) under Anolis purpurgularis. RNAcentral's name for it is "partial 16S ribosomal RNA". It matches the Rfam family "Bacterial large subunit ribosomal RNA", at positions 1978 to 2594 of the family's 2925-position model. The record is from RNAcentral. Lineage: Eukaryota; Metazoa; Chordata; Lepidosauria; Squamata; Anolidae.